Molecule: ribosomal RNA, 253 nt
Filed under: uncultured bacterium
Lineage: Bacteria
Description: partial 16S ribosomal RNA
Rfam family: Bacterial small subunit ribosomal RNA
Source: RNAcentral
UACGUAGGGUGCGAGCGUUGUCCGGAAUUAUUGGGCGUAAAGGGCUCAUAGGCGGUUUGUCGCGUCGGGAGUGAAAACCCCGGGCUUAACUCGGUGCUUGCUUUCGAUACGGGCAGACUUGAGGCAUGCAGGGGAGAACGGAAUUCCUGGUGUAGCGGUGAAAUGCGCAGAUAUCAGGAGGAACACCGGUGGCGAAGGCGGUUCUCUGGGCAUGAUCUGACGCUGAGGAGCGAAAGUGUGGGGAGCGAACAGG